RNAcentral lists this ribosomal RNA (1102 nucleotides) under Actinomycetes bacterium. RNAcentral's name for it is "bacterial SSU rRNA". It matches the Rfam family "Bacterial small subunit ribosomal RNA", at positions 92 to 1196 of the family's 1533-position model. Lineage: Bacteria; Bacillati; Actinomycetota; Actinomycetes. The record is from RNAcentral.
UUAGUGGCGAACGGGUGAGUAAUACGUGAGUGACCUACCUUUGACUCUGGGAUAAGCCUGGGAAACUGGGUCUAAUACCGGAUACGACCAAUCUCCGCAUGGGGUGUUGGUGGAAAGCGUUAUGGAGUGGUUUUAGAUGGGCUCACGGCCUAUCAGCUUGUUGGUGAGGUAAUGGCUUACCAAGGCGAGAAGGGUUAGCCGGCCUUGAGAGGGUGACCGGCCACACUGGGACUGAGACACGGCCCAGACUCCUACGGGAGGCAGCAGUGGGGAAUAUUGCACAAUGGGCGCAAGCCUGAUGAAGCGACGCCGCGUGAGGGAUGACGGCCUUCGGGUUGUAAACCUCUGUUAGCAUCGAAGAAGCGAAAGGACGGUAGGUGCAGAGAAAGCGCCGGCAAAAUACGUGCCAGCAGCCGCGGUAAUACGUAGGGCGCAAGCGUUGUCCGGAAUUAUUGGGCGUAAAGAGCUGGUAGGCGGUUGGUCGCGUCUGCUGUGAAAGGCUGGGGCUUAACCCUGGUUUUGCAGUGGGUACGGGCUAACUAGAGUGCAGUAGGGGAGACUGGAAUUCCUGGUGUAGCGGUGGAAUGCGCAGAUAUCAGGAGGAACACCGAUGGCGAAGGCAGGUCUCUGGGCUGUAACUGACGCUAAGAAGCGAAAGCAUGGGGAGCGAACAGGAUUAGAUACCCUGGUAGUCCAUGCCGUAAACGUUGGGCACUAGGUGUGGGGGACAUUCCACGUUUUCCGCGCCGUAGCUAACGCAUUAAGUGCCCCGCCUGGGGGAGUACGGCCGCAAGGCUAAAACUCAAAGAAAUUGACGGGGGCCCGCACAAGCGGCGGAGCAUGCGGAUUAAUUCGAUGCAACGCGAAGAACCUUACCAAGGCUUGACAUAUACUGGACUGCGUCAGAGAUGGCGUUUCCCUUCGGGGCUGGUAUACAGGUGGUGCAUGGUGGUCGUCAGCUCGUGUCGUGAGAAUGUUGGGUUAAGUCCCGCAACGAGCGCAACCCUCCUUCUAUGUUGCCAGCACGUGGAUGGUGGGGGACUCAUAAGGAGACUGCCGGGGUCAACUCGGAGGAAAGGUGGGGGUGACGUCAAAUCAUCAU